Molecule: ribosomal RNA, 1163 nt
Filed under: uncultured beta proteobacterium
Lineage: Bacteria; Pseudomonadati; Pseudomonadota; Betaproteobacteria
Description: bacterial SSU rRNA
Rfam family: Bacterial small subunit ribosomal RNA
Source: RNAcentral
CCUUAACGUGCGCGUCAGCGCUCUUAGAGUUUGAUCCUGGCUCAGAUUGAACGCUGGCGGCAUGCCAUUACACAUGCAAGUCGAACGGCAGCACGGACUUCGGUCUGGUGGCGAGUGGCGAACGGGUGAGUAAAGCAUCGGAACGCGCCCGAUCGGGGGGGAUAACGCAGCGAAAGCUGCGCUAAUACCGCAUAAGAUCUACGGAUGAAAGCGGGGGACUCGCAAGAGCCUCGCGCGAACGGAGCGGCCGAUGUCAGAUUAGGUAGUUGGUGGGGUAAAAGCCUACCAAGCCGACGAUCUGUAGCUGGUCUGAGAGGACAACCAGCCACACUGGGACUGAGACACGGCCCAGACUCCUACGGGAGGCAGCACUGGGGAAUUUUGGACAAUGGGCGCAAGCCUGAUCCAGCCAUGCCGCGUGCAGGAAGAAGGCCUCCGGGUUGUAAACUGCUUUUGUACCGAACGAAAAAGCCCUGGUUAAUACCUAGGGCUGAUGACGGUACCGUCAGAAUAAGCACCGGCUAACUACGUGCCAGCAGCCCCGGUAAUUCUUUGGGGGCGAGCGGUAAUCUGAAUUGCGGGGCAUGAUGCGUGCGCAGGCCGGUUUGUAAGACAGACGUGAAAUCCUCGGGCUCAACCUGGGAACUGCCUUUGUGACUGCAAGGCUGGAGUGCGGUCGACGGGGAUGGAAUUCCGCGUGUAGGAGUGAAAUGUGUAGAUAUGCAGACGAACACCGCUGGCGAAGGCAAUCCCCUGGGGCUGCACUGAGGCUCAUGCUCGAAAGCGUGCGGAGCAAAUUCGAUUAGAUACGCUGGUAGACCACGCCCUGAACGAUGUCAACUGGCUGUUGGGUCUUAGCUGACUCAGUUACGAAGCGCUACGCGUGAAGAUGACCGCCUGUGGUAGCUACGGCUCGCGACGUUGCAGACUCAAAAGGAAUUGACGAGGGACCAGCCCAAGCGAUUGCAUGAUCGUGGCUUUAAAUACGGGGCAGCGCGCACAUUAUGUCCAGCUAUUGCACGAUGACCGCUAUCCCGCAUAGAUUAGCGAGUGCUGCAAGGAAGAUCUGCAGCCAGGUGCUACAUGGACUGUCACAGUCAUCAGGUCCGUAGGAUGUUAGCGAUGACUUCUUCGAUCCAGGUCAAACCUAUGUUCUAUCUAAG